GGGAUUGCCCUAGUAACGGCGAGUGAAGCGGCAACAGCUCAAAUUUGAAAUCUGGCGUCUUCGGCGUCCGAGUUGUAAUUUGCAGAGGGCGCUUUGGCAUUGGCAGCGGUCCAAGUUCCUUGGAACAGGACGUCACAGAGGGUGAGAAUCCCGUACGUGGUCGCUAGCCUUUACCGUGUAAAGCCCCUUCGACGAGUCGAGUUGUUUGGGAAUGCAGCUCUAAAUGGGAGGUAAAUUUCUUCUAAAGCUAAAUACUGGCCAGAGACCGAUAGCGCACAAGUAGAGUGAUCGAAAGAUGAAAAGCACUUUGGAAAGAGAGUUAAAAAGCACGUGAAAUUGUUGAAAGGGAAGCGCUUGCAGCCAGACUUGCCUGUAGUUGCUCAUCCGGGUUUCUACCCGGUGCACUCUUCUAUAGGCAGGCCAGCAUCAGUUUGGGCGGUUGGAUAAAGGUCUCUGUCAUGUACCUCUCUUCGGGGAGAACUUAUAGGGGAGACGACAUGCAACCAGCCUGGACUGAGGUCCGCGCAUCUGCUAGGAUGCUGGCGUAAUGGCUGUAAGCGGCCCGUCUUGAAACACGGACCAAGGAGUCUAACAUCUAUGCGAGUGUUUGGGUGUCAAGCCCGAGCGCGUAAUGAAAGUGAACGGAGGUGGGAACCUUUCGGGGUGCACCAUCGACCGAUCCUGAUGUCUUCGGAUGGAUUUGAGUAAGAGCAUAGCUGUUGGGACCCGAAAGAUGGUGAACUAUGCUUGAAUAGGGUGAAGCCAGAGGAAACUCUGGUGGAGGCUCGCAGCGGUUCUGACGUGCAAAUCGAUCGUCAAAUUUGGGCAUAGGGGCGAAAGACUAAUCGAACUAUCUAGUAGCUGGUUCCUGCCGAAGUUUCCCUCAGGAUAGCAGUAACGUUUUCAGUUUUAUGAGGUAAAGCGAAUGAUUA
RNAcentral lists this ribosomal RNA (932 nucleotides) under Didymella calidophila. RNAcentral describes it as "partial large subunit ribosomal RNA". It matches the Rfam family "Eukaryotic large subunit ribosomal RNA", at positions 71 to 1023 of the family's 3401-position model. The record is from RNAcentral. Lineage: Eukaryota; Fungi; Ascomycota; Dothideomycetes; Pleosporales; Didymellaceae.